UGAAAAAUAUCGGGCAAUGACACCGUUCAUCGCCUUCCUCUGCCCUUCGUUCUUUGCUCUCUCGCACGAAACCAGCAGAGCCCCCAGAAUCGACAAUCCCGGCCGGAAGACGGAGAGCUGAACCCCAUCACCGGUGUUAGUUGAGGGUGUGACGGUUAUUGGCCAUCGAUUUUCUCUUACAGUAAACAGACGAAGAUGGAGAGCUGACGAGGGUUAUUGAAAUCAAAACCCCAUCACCGGAAGAGGGAGAGCUGAACCCCAUCACUGGUGUUAGUUGAGGGUGUGACGGUUAUUGGCCAUCGAUUCUCUCUUACAGAAAACAAACGAAGACGGAGAGCUGACGAGGGUUAUUGGAAUCAAAGCCCCAUCACCGGAAGACGGAGAGCUGACGAUGGUGGUGACGGUAGCGGCGACGCAUGCGAGUAAGAGGAGGCGGAGGAAGGAGAGACGGAGAGACGGAGAGCUGAAACCGGCAAUCCUUAGAUGGAGGAACUCACUUGUUCAGUAUUAGAAUGAUAGUGUACCUCUUAAUAUGUGAAAAGAAUGGUUCAUCCGAUUGUUCCCUAGAAGACUGCUAUGAGAUACUCCUGUAUUAAGAUAAUAAGAUCCUCUCUCUCUUUCUAAAGUUUCCCUGCUAUGAGAUACUCUUGUGUUAAAAUUUCCACCCAUUUUUCCCUUCUCAUUCCACCAAAAUCUUCCCUCAAACCAAACAAACAUGAUAUCCUAGUGCUGAGUUUCGCAAGAAAUUUCAGUCCUCUCCACCCUCUCUUUUCACUGCUUUUAUUUUUAUUCUAUUUCCAAGUUAUUUUAAUUGACAACCCUUAUCUAUUGCAUUUGCAUUGUAGAUUUAUGAUAUGUUUUGUUCAUUAGAUUGUUGUAUUAAAUAAUCUAAUGGAAAUUUUGAUACC
Non-coding RNA from Nelumbo nucifera (sacred lotus), 908 nucleotides. The record is from RefSeq and is a predicted model, not a curated record. NCBI's taxonomy places the organism in Eukaryota, Viridiplantae, Streptophyta, Magnoliopsida, Proteales, Nelumbonaceae.